Molecule: ribosomal RNA, 500 nt
Filed under: uncultured bacterium
Lineage: Bacteria
Description: partial 16S ribosomal RNA
Rfam family: Bacterial small subunit ribosomal RNA
Source: RNAcentral
AUUGAACGCUGGCGGAAUGCUUUACACAUGCAAGUCGAACGGCAGCACGGACUUCGGUCUGGUGGCGAGUGGCGAACGGGUGAGUAAUACAUCGGAACGUGCCCAAUCGUGGGGGAUAACGUAGCGAAAGCUACGCUAAUACCGCAUACGAUCUAAGGAUGAAAGCGGGGGAUCGCAAGACCUCGCGCGAUUGGAGCGGCCGAUGGGAGGUUAGGUAGUUGGUAGGGUAAAGGCCUACCAAGCCGACGAUCUGUAGCCGGUCAGAGAGGAUGAUCAGCCAGACUGGGACUGAGAGGCGGCCCAGACUCGUACGGGAGGCAGCAGGGGGGAAUUUUGGGCAAUGGGCGAAAGCCUGAUCCAGCCAUUCCGCGUGCAGGAUGAAGGCCCUCGGGUUGUAAACUGCUUUUGUACAGAACGAAAAGGUUUCUACUAAUACUAGGAGCUCAUGACGGUACUGUAAGAAUAAGCACCGGCUAACUACGUGCCAGCCGCCGCCGUAA